UGAAGCAACAUGUCUGCGCCUAGAACACAUGUGUAAACAAACAUGGAGAAAGGAGUAACCUAGCUCAUGGAUUAACCUAACCGAAACGAUUUAAAAUGUUCCUGUUAUUCGGAGAAACAUAUUCAGCAAUGACAUUACGGCUUCGCGAGACCUUUUUACGGAGAUCUCUGCGAUUUUCGGACAUCCGAAAACUGUCAGCAGCCCCAGAACAUGCGCCACUCUAUCUGCGCGCAGAGGUACCUGAUUGAAGAUGCAAAGCCUCGCCAGUGGCAGUACCACAGUGAAGUGCAUACAGAUCAGACUCCUGUGCAUCAAUACUAUAAGAGAGAAACUUCUUGAGUAUCUCCUUUAGGAGGUGCCAUACACUAUGACCCAGCAAAUUGAAAUCUGGAAGCAGUCUGAGGAUGGGGCACUCGAAAUAUCAAUCAAACUAUAUGUGAAGAAAGACAGUCAUAUGAAAAUGUUUAUUGGUCCUGGAGGUCAUUUAAUUACCAGAAUAACCCAGGAAGUUAGAAUUUACCUAAUGAACAUUUUCUUGCAAGAAGUGCAUCUAAAAAUAUCUGCGAAGUUGAAGAAUUGAAGUUCAGAGCUCAAGCG
Molecule: long non-coding RNA, 597 nt
Organism: Xyrauchen texanus (razorback sucker)
Lineage: Eukaryota; Metazoa; Chordata; Actinopteri; Cypriniformes; Catostomidae
Exons: 4
Source: RefSeq, a predicted model, not a curated record